UCGGAGAGUUUGAUCCUGGCUCAGGACGAACGCUGGCGGCGUGCCUAAUACAUGCAAGUCGAGCGGACAGAAGGGAGCUUGCUCCCGGAUGUUAGCGGCGGACGGGUGAGUAACACGUGGGUAACCUGCCUGUAAGACUGGGAU
RNAcentral lists this ribosomal RNA (144 nucleotides) under Bacillus safensis. Its description in RNAcentral is "partial 16S ribosomal RNA". It matches the Rfam family "Bacterial small subunit ribosomal RNA", at positions 1 to 144 of the family's 1533-position model. Lineage: Bacteria; Bacillati; Bacillota; Bacilli; Caryophanales; Bacillaceae. The record is from RNAcentral.